UUGAGCCCUGCUGUAGGUUUAUAUGUCUCUGGCUUCUUCUCCUGGAUGAACCCCAUGCUAAUACUGCAGCAGUCACUUCAGCCCUAUGUUUUGUUGCUUCAGUUCAUGUUCCCUGGAUGGCUGUUGGACCAUGUUCACCACUUUUCCUUGCUUGGGCCUAUUGAUGGGCCCUACCUCUGCCUAUUGUGCUGUAGGGCUGUGCCCUUGUUCAGAUGCUGCCUGGGCUGUUAUGCCUGGUUUUGGGAUCACCCUCCCUUAGGAACAGCUUGUUCUCACUGCUUGCUGAUGUGGAUUACCAGUUGCAGUUGGUCUGGAGACAGCAAACAGAUCCAUGCUGCCGCCUUCUUCCUCACCGUGAAACGCUCUCAAACCUCCGAAAGGCUUGGCAAUGUCAGCACCGCAGGCUCCCCUGGCCGCUGCAUGGGGCAGCAGGAGGGGGUGUCUGGGCUCCGUGCUGGGAACAGCCAUGGAAAGUCGCAGCACCCAGCAUGCAAAAGCCAGACCCAUAUGCAUAACAGAUCCAUGUGUAAAGAGCAGCACCAGGCCCAGACCAACAUAAUGAUGCCAGACAACUUGCAGGUCUCCUCCAACAAGUGUGCCCCUGGCUGAAACACCCAGCCCUGUUCAUACAUGCAGCUAGGAGGACAUUUUCAUCUUCCCCUUGAAUUGGGAAUGACAAUACAGCCAGUGAGACCUUCUGCCUCUUCUGCUUGGCUGCUUUAUGCAGACCUGUGGCAUGCCCUGCAGCACUAUCUACAAAGACCUUCUGCAUUCCCAUGUUCCAGCUGCUCUCACUGCAACAGGCAGAUAAUGACAAGAUGCAAGGACAACAGGAGAGGAGUAAGAGGACUUUCAGGAAGCAAAACCUGCAAUUAUUAUAACUGAAAAAGUCAUCCCUCCACUCUCCUUGAGGCUUCACCAGUCCUUGUGGGUGAUCCCUGCAUUUGGCUCUGCUGGCUGUGUUUGAGGCCCACAACGUUUGAAAUGCUGCUUGCUCUUGCUGUCGGCAAGCUAGCAUCCAGUUUCUGCCACCCGAUAUUAAUGUCCACAAUGUUCCAGCGCCCACCAGCAUCACCAGUGACACCUCCAGCUCUCUGCUGCCACAGUGAACGUAUUUCUUUUCUGAGCAUCAAAGAAUCCUCAGAGAAUUUAGCUGGGCCCCUGAGGCCUGCUGGGAGACUGAUGAGUGCCCCUUUGGGUGGCUCAGAGGCCACUGUUAUUACACCAGCGAUGGCUGGGGCACAGGCAGCCACAGCAAGAACCCAGACCAUUACAGUUAUACAGGAGGCAGUGAUCUAUUGCCAAAUAAAUAAAAUCAUCAAAUGAGUUAGAUAAGAGAUGAGCAGCUUCAUGAUCGGGCUUUUGGUUGUAAGACUAGGGGUAUUCCUGUAGCUUGUUUAGUUGUUCUUUAGUUCCUGUCUUGCUUGCCCUCAGUUUCUCUUUUUGUUUAGUUCUUCCAAGCUACAACACUAUUAACACCCUGCACACUAUAUAUAAAUGUCCUUGCCAUGGAAGAAUCCAAAUAAAACCGGUUUCUCUUAAUAUUUAAACUUAUUUCCUGAGGAAUU
This is a long non-coding RNA of Oxyura jamaicensis (ruddy duck), 1568 nucleotides long. RefSeq lists it as uncharacterized. The record is from RefSeq and is a predicted model, not a curated record. The transcript has 3 exons. Lineage: Eukaryota; Metazoa; Chordata; Aves; Anseriformes; Anatidae.